This 455-nucleotide ribosomal RNA is filed under the name uncultured bacterium. RNAcentral describes it as "bacterial SSU rRNA". It matches the Rfam family "Bacterial small subunit ribosomal RNA", at positions 340 to 786 of the family's 1533-position model. The record is from RNAcentral.
UACGGGAGGCAGCAGUGGGGAAUAUUGCACAAUGGGCGCAAGCCUGAUGCAGCCAUGCCGCGUGUAUGAAGAAGGCCUUCGGGUUGUAAAGUACUUUCAGUCGUGAGGAAGGUGUUAAGGUUAAUAACCUUAGCAAUUGACGUUAGCGACAGAAGAAGCACCGGCUAACUCCGUGCCAGCAGCCGCGGUAAUACGGAGGGUGCGAGCGUUAAUCGGAAUUACUGGGCGUAAAGGGCACGCAGGCGGUUAAUUAAGUUGGAUGUGAAAUCCCCGGGCUUAACCUGGGAAUGGCAUUCAAGACUGGUUUAGCUAGAGUCUUGUAGAGGGGGUAGAAUUCCAUGUGUAGCGGUGAAAUGCGUAGAGAUGUGGAGGAAUACCGGUGGCGAAGGCGGCCCCUGGGACAAAGACUGACGCUCAUGUGCGAAAGCGUGGGGAGCAAACAGGGAUUAGAUACC